UGAGGAUUCUCAGCACUCUGAAUCGGGAGCUAUUGAAGCCGUCGGCGUCGGUGGCGCUGCAUCGACACUCGAAUGCGCUGGUUGAUGUACUGCCGCCGGAGGCCGAUUCGAGUAUUUCGUUGCUGAGUCAGUCGGAGAAACCGGAUGUGACUUACAGUGAUAUUGGCGGCUGCGACAUACAAAAACAAGAAAUUCGUGAAGCCGUAGAAUUACCGUUAACACAUCAUGAUUUGUACAAGCAGAUCGGUAUUGAUCCCCCGAGAGGUGUGCUUCUCUAUGGUCCUCCAGGCACUGGUAAAACUAUGCUCGCUAAGGCUGUUGCAAACCAUACAACAGCUGCUUUUAUAAGAGUUGUUGGCUCUGAGUUUGUGCAGAAGUAUCUCGGCGAGGGCCCGAGAAUGGUUAGGGA
RNAcentral lists this unclassified non-coding RNA (409 nucleotides) under Hevea brasiliensis (rubber tree). The record is from RNAcentral. Lineage: Eukaryota; Viridiplantae; Streptophyta; Magnoliopsida; Malpighiales; Euphorbiaceae.